RNAcentral lists this ribosomal RNA (475 nucleotides) under uncultured Acidobacteriota bacterium. Its description in RNAcentral is "bacterial SSU rRNA". It matches the Rfam family "Bacterial small subunit ribosomal RNA", at positions 224 to 704 of the family's 1533-position model. The record is from RNAcentral. Lineage: Bacteria; Pseudomonadati; Acidobacteriota.
GAGGAGCCCGCGCCCGAUUAGCUAGUUGGUGAGGUAACGGCUCACCAAGGCUAUGAUCGGUAGCUGGUCUGAGAGGAUGGCCAGCCACACUGGAACUGAGACACGGUCCAGACUCCUACGGGAGGCAGCAGUGGGGAAUCUUGCGCAAUGGGCGAAAGCCUGACGCAGCGACGCCGCGUGGGGGAUGAAGCUUUUCGGAGUGUAAACCCCUUUCGACCGGGACGAAUGCCCGCAAGGGAGUGACGGUACCGGUAUAAGAAGCCCCGGCUAACUACGUGCCAGCAGCCGCGGUAAGACGUAGGGGGCCAGCGUUGUUCGGAAUUACUGGGUGUAAAGGGUCAGUAGGCGGUGUGGCAAGUCGGGAGUGAAAUUUCUGGGCUUAACUCAGAACCUGCUUCCGAAACUGCUGUGCUGGAGUGUGGGAGAGGCGCGUGGAAUUGCAGGUGUAGCGGUGAAAUGCGUAGAUAUCUGCAGG